This 220-nucleotide unclassified non-coding RNA is filed under the name Hevea brasiliensis (rubber tree). Lineage: Eukaryota; Viridiplantae; Streptophyta; Magnoliopsida; Malpighiales; Euphorbiaceae. The record is from RNAcentral.
GGGUGGUAUAGGGAAGACAACAAUCGCCAAAUAUGCAUUUAACUCUAACUUUGAAAGUUUUGAAAGAAGCAGCUUCCUCUACAAUGUUAGAGAUUUUUCAGAGUCUACGGAUGGACUAAUUUAUCUGCAGAAACAAUUUCUUUGUGAUAUUCUUGACGGGAGGAAGAUUGACAUUCAGAGUGUUGAAGAUGGAAUGAAUCAGAUCAAAAGUGCUGUUUAU